UCUCCGUUGGUGAACCAGCGGAGGGAUCAUUACAGAGUCGUAAAACACUCCCAAACCCAUGUGAACUUACCAAUGUUGCCUCGGCAGAGCCUACCCGGUAACUGUUCGGAGAAGCUACCCUGUAGCUACCCUGUAACGGCCUACCCUGUAACGCACUGCCGGUGGACUUUUAAACUCUUGUUAUUUUUAAAGUAAUCUGAGCGUCUUAUUUUAAUAAGUCAAAACUUUCAACAACGGAUCUCUUGGUUCUGGCAUCGUGAAGAACGCAGC
Molecule: unclassified non-coding RNA, 270 nt
Filed under: uncultured fungus
Lineage: Eukaryota; Fungi
Description: sequence contains ITS1, 5.8S rRNA gene
Source: RNAcentral